GGUACAGUGGUGCAGUGGGUAGCACUGCUGCUUCAAUGCCAGAAGGUUGUGAGUUUGAGUCUGGCCUGAGGCC
Molecule: non-coding RNA, 73 nt
Organism: Gymnothorax javanicus (giant moray)
Lineage: Eukaryota; Metazoa; Chordata; Actinopteri; Anguilliformes; Muraenidae
Source: the annotation of a GenBank genome assembly